CCUACGGGCGGCAGCAGUGGGGGAUAUUGCACAAUGGGGGAAACCCUGAUGCAGCGACGCCGCGUGAGUGAAGAAGUAUUUCGGAUUGUAAACUGCUUUAGACAGGGAAGAAAAAAGACAGUACCUGUAGAAUAAGCUCCGGCUAACUACGUGCCAGCAGCCGCGGUAAUACGUAGGGAGCAAGCGUUAUCCGGAUUUAUUGGGUGUAAAGGGUGCGUAGACGGAGAAGCAAGUUAGUUGUGAAAUCCCUCGGCUUAACUGAGGAACUGCAACUAAAACUACUUCCCUUGAGUACUGGAGAGGAAAGUGGAAUUCCUAGUGUAGCGGUGAAAUGCGUAGAUAUUAGGAGGAACACCAGUGGCGAAGGCGACUUUCUGGACAGUAACUGACGUUGAGGCACGAAAGUGUGGGGAGCAAACAGGAUUAGAUACCCUUGUAGUC
This 441-nucleotide ribosomal RNA is filed under the name uncultured bacterium. Its description in RNAcentral is "partial 16S ribosomal RNA". It matches the Rfam family "Bacterial small subunit ribosomal RNA", at positions 338 to 795 of the family's 1533-position model. The record is from RNAcentral.